This 704-nucleotide RNase P RNA is filed under the name Hydnomerulius pinastri MD-312. RNAcentral describes it as "Nuclear RNase P". It matches the Rfam family "Nuclear RNase P". Rfam says of the family: Ribonuclease P (RNase P) is a ubiquitous endoribonuclease, found in archaea, bacteria and eukarya as well as chloroplasts and mitochondria. Its best characterised activity is the generation of mature 5'-ends of tRNAs by cleaving the 5'-leader elements of precursor-tRNAs. Lineage: Eukaryota; Fungi; Basidiomycota; Agaricomycetes; Boletales. The record is from Rfam by way of RNAcentral.
CCAGCUCGAAGGCCACGAUGCCCACCAUGCACAGGAUGCCCCCCAUCCAAUCUCGUGAGCGGGCUAAGGUCUGAGUAUUCGAAUCCCCCUCGAUAGGCUCUAGCAGGGCCCUGUCGUAAUCGACAGAGCGGCAUACCAGAAAAGCAGCCUUUUUCUCGCUCGCCCAAGAUCCUGUUCUGCAGGGGAGGCUUUGGGAAUUUUGGCUUUGAAAGGUGCCGCGGGGAUUAGGCAAGGUAUUUCUCCCACUGGGAAUCCUACGAUUUUGCCUUUAUCUCGCUAAGUGUCCCUCGUAUGGGACGCCUUGAACGCGGGCAGGCUUGUAACCGGGAAUUCACCAUGUUGUUGGUGUUGCUCCGAUAAUCUGGACCGGGAUGACUACGUGUGGCGCUCAGAGACAGUAUUGGUCUGCAGACGUCACCUGCGGAAGAGAUGUGCUAUUGUCUGGGCGUCAACAAGUCACAAUGCUCCAGUGGGGCUACAUCUGCAACAAUAUACGCGGUGUCCUAGGUGCAGAGUCAUUGUCUUCGCGCGGAAAGACGGCCUUUUGGCUGGAGAUGCUGUUUAGUGUGACGGACGAGAGCAGCUCCUUGCGAACGAGAAGGCAAAUCCGUGAGUUCUUUUGGGAGCCCAUGUCCUUCAGUGCACUUCGUGGCUCGCGGUUCCUUGUGAGCCGUGAAACUCGAUUCAGACUAUUCUCGGACUGG